Molecule: ribosomal RNA, 736 nt
Filed under: Adhaeribacter sp.
Lineage: Bacteria; Pseudomonadati; Bacteroidota; Cytophagia; Cytophagales; Hymenobacteraceae
Description: bacterial SSU rRNA
Rfam family: Bacterial small subunit ribosomal RNA
Source: RNAcentral
GGGUCUAGGUAGCAAUACCUAGAUUAGUGGCGCACGGGUGCGUAACGCGUAUGCAACCUACCUUCUAUUGGGGGAUAGCCUUCCGAAAGGAAGAUUAAUACCGCAUAAUAUCAUUUGAGGGCAUCUGAAGAUGAUUAAAGCUACGGCGAUAGAAGAUGGGCAUGCGUGACAUUAGCUAGUUGGUUGAGGUAACGGCUCACCAAGGCUACGAUGUCUAGGGGUUCUGAGAGGAUGAUCCCCCACACUGGUACUGAGAUACGGACCAGACUCCUACGGGAGGCAGCAGUAGGGAAUAUUGGGCAAUGGACGCAAGUCUGACCCAGCCAUGCCGCGUGAAGGAUGAAGGCCUUCUGGGUUGUAAACUUCUUUUAUCUAGGAAGAAAAUACUCUUGCGAGAGGAACUGACGGUACUAGAUGAAUAAGCACCGGCUAACUCCGUGCCAGCAGCCGCGGUAAUACGGAGGGUGCAAGCGUUGUCCGGAUUUAUUGGGUUUAAAGGGUGCGUAGGCGGCCCUGUAAGUCAGUGGUGAAAGCCCAUAGCUCAACUAUGGAACUGCCAUUGAUACUGCAGGGCUUGAGUACAGACGAGGUAGGCGGAAUUGAUAGUGUAGCGGUGAAAUGCAUAGAUACUAUCAAGAACACCGAUUGCGUAGGCAGCUUACUAGGCUGUAACUGACGCUGAGGCACGAAAGCGUGGGGAGCGAACAGGAUUAGAUACCCUGGUAGUCCACGCUGU